This 22-nucleotide non-coding RNA is filed under the name Sclerotinia sclerotiorum. The record is from RNAcentral. Lineage: Eukaryota; Fungi; Ascomycota; Leotiomycetes; Helotiales; Sclerotiniaceae.
UAUCGAUCACUUGCCCAAUCUG